CAUGAAUGCUGUAAAUGUUGUGCAACUGUUCAUUCUGGUUUGGACCUUUACUGCUGUCUGUCAAGCUGAUGAUGGUUUCGUCAGUGCAAGCUGUGAUGAUGUGACUGGAUCUGUGGAGAAAGAAGUAACUCUCACCUGUAGCAUCUCUCAGCAGUACACUGAUUGCUGCAUUGUGAUGUAUAUGUUUCAAUACCCUGGGAUAAAUGACACCUUAAUCUGUGCACAAGAGCUUCCUUACAACCCCUGUGAUCAGAGUAACAGCUUCUCAUGCCGCUACACUCCAACUACAGCAAGGAAGGAAAAUAUAGUAUUCUUUGUGCAAACAAUGUGUGGAAUGAAAAGAACAGAAUUCACUGUUAACACAACAGGGCUCAUUAAACCUGAAAUUGUCACUGAAGCUCCUGCUCCUGGCAAGAAAGAUUUCAUUGUAAGCUGUGAGAAUGUGACUGGUUCUGUGGGGAAAGAAGUAACUCUCACCUGCAGCAUCUCUCUGCAGCGCACUGAAUGCUGCGUUACAAAGUAUAAGUUUCAAUACCCUGAGAGCUUUAAUGACUCCGCAGUCUGUCAUCAAGUUUUUCCUGUGAACAGAGGAACAGCUUCACAUGCCGCUACACUCCAACUACAGCAAUGACAGAACAAUUCAGAUUCUUUGUGCAAACAAACUGUGGAAUGAAAAGAACUAAUUUCACUGUGAACAUAACAGGUACGGUAUAUGUUGUUUGUAAUUCUGUACAUUUAUGUUUAAUCUUUUUACAGUGGUUUAAAAUCUGUUAACAGGGCCCAUUAAACCUGAAAUUGUCACUGAAGCAGAAGAAAGUCUGACUUUUGAGGGAUGUCUUCAGUAAUGCUUUUGCACUUGCUAAAUAAUAAUAUAGCUAAAAAAUUAAAAUGAUUUU
RNAcentral lists this long non-coding RNA (896 nucleotides) under Sinocyclocheilus anshuiensis. RNAcentral describes it as "lncRNA (ENSSANG00000009209.1)". The record is from RNAcentral. Lineage: Eukaryota; Metazoa; Chordata; Actinopteri; Cypriniformes; Cyprinidae.